This 543-nucleotide long non-coding RNA is filed under the name Gallus gallus (chicken). RNAcentral's name for it is "long non-coding RNA NONGGAT011652". Lineage: Eukaryota; Metazoa; Chordata; Aves; Galliformes; Phasianidae. The record is from RNAcentral.
CACAAAGCUGUGUGCAUCCUUGCUUUGGUGAGCUUCCAGCGCGGCCAGAUGAGUUCGCACGUUCAGCCCCUGCGGAUCCUGGAUUUGGUUUUAUUUCCUCCAUCCCGAUGGACCAUAAGUGGGGAUCCUCACCACGUUGCUGGCGGGGCUGGUGCUCGGCCCAUCUUCGCAGGAGUCUGUUGCUCUCGUUCUCUGUCAUAGGCUUUGACGGAUGCCUCGGGGAGAAGGAGGGCAGGGCAGGGACCGAUGUGCCAAAUGACGGAUGGUGCGGUCUGCUGCAAGCCAGUUCCUGGCAAACGGUGAAAGCGGUGCAUUGGCUGCUGCUGUGAGCCCCCCCUGGAGCAGCCUGGUGGCAUGGGGAUGAGCACUGAUGUGCUGCUUGGAGCAUCGAAUCGACGUGUGCUUGUGAGGCUUCAGUCUGUUUCAUGAUCUUACAAAUAAGACCUGCUGGCGUCAGAAACACAAAGCAAAUGCGUCGUGGAUCGAGCAAGGAAGCAGUGUUGUGUGGGCAGACCUGGAUGUGCUGUCUGCAGGGCAGAGCGG